GCAGCCUGAUCCAGCCAUACCGCGUGGGUGAAGAAGGCCUUCGGGUUGUAAAGCCCUUUUGUUGGGAAAGAAAAGCAAUCGAUUAAUACUCGGUUGUUCUGACGGUACCCAAAGAAUAAGCACCGGCUAACUUCGUGCCAGCAGCCGCGGUAAUACGAAGGGUGCAAGCGUUACUCGGAAUUACUGGGCGUAAAGCGUGCGUAGGUGGUUGUUUAAGUCUGUUGUGAAAGCCCUGGGCUCAACCUGGGAAUUGCAGUGGAUACUGGGCAACUAGAGUGUGGUAGAGGGUAGUGGAAUUCCCGGUGUAGCAGUGAAAUGCGUAGAGAUCGGGAGGAACAUCCAUGGCGAAGGCAGCUACCUGGACCAACACUGACACUGAGGCACGAAAGCGUGGGGAGCAAACAGGAUUAGAUACCCUGGUAGUCCACGCCCUAAACGAUGCGAACUGGAUGUUGGGUGCAAUUUGGCACGCAGUAUCGAAGCUAACGCGUUAAGUUCGCCGCCUGGGGAGUACGGUCGCAAGACUGAAACUCAAAGGAAUUGACGGGGGCCCGCACAAGCGGUGGAGUAUGUGGUUUAAUUCGAUGCAACGCGAAGAACCUUACCUGGUCUUGACAUGUCGAGAACUUUCCAGA
This 635-nucleotide ribosomal RNA is filed under the name Stenotrophomonas sp. Ri1Pw_5580. RNAcentral describes it as "bacterial SSU rRNA". It matches the Rfam family "Bacterial small subunit ribosomal RNA", at positions 378 to 1004 of the family's 1533-position model. The record is from RNAcentral. RNAcentral also lists the same sequence under 2 other names. Lineage: Bacteria; Pseudomonadati; Pseudomonadota; Gammaproteobacteria; Lysobacterales; Lysobacteraceae.